UGAGCUUAUUUUAACUGUGUGUGUGGUGCAUGUGUAGGAGCAUAUAUGUGUGCAUGUGUGUGUGCUCAUGUACAAGAGUUCAUGUGUAUGCAUGCAUGUGCUAGCGUGUGUAUGCUUGUUUUACUUGGAGCAUCCAAUCCAGCCCUGGUCACUGGGCAGGAGGAAACUCAAUCUGAGCAUAGCCAGGUGCUCUCUGGGAAGACAGGACCCAUUCCCAUGGCCUUGCUCUCAAAGAUCUGAAGUUAGUGAGACUCGGCUGGAGGACAGAGUCCAUGGCUGCCGUGUCCCUGAGGCCAUCUGUGCAAAGCUGAAUACCAUCAAUACUCAACCCACAGCACCUAAUCUGGGGGCCGGGACCCAGCAAUGGGCAGCAGAUCCUUCCUCCUGGCUGAAGGCAGAAGGCAGAAGGCAGACCCAGCCCUGGAGCUGAGGAGGGAGAGGAUCCUGGUGUUCAAGCUGCAGGCCCACAGCCCCGCAUGGGCUGUUCCUGCGUGGGCAGCCCAAGGAUUAAACAGAUUUUGUUGGGAUUACUGCUGCCAAUCAAGUUCAAGUGCAUUUUUAAGAGCUUAAUUUGCAGCCCUAGGUUUCGAAUAAAAUUGUCAAGUCCAGUCGAUUAAACUCAUUAAGGCGGGUGGACUGGCUGGCGUUCACACUGCCAUCAGAUUUGGAGAAUUAAUUAGGGGCCUGUUAUCCUUUGUUGGGAUUAGCAGAGCCAGCCCGGCGGCCCAGGGUUUCUGCUAA
This 741-nucleotide long non-coding RNA is filed under the name Aotus nancymaae (Ma's night monkey). RNAcentral describes it as "lncRNA (ENSANAG00000038664.1)". The record is from RNAcentral. Lineage: Eukaryota; Metazoa; Chordata; Mammalia; Primates; Aotidae.